UGGUCUGGCAUGGCAGGUGUGAUGGACUC
Molecule: non-coding RNA, 29 nt
Filed under: Mus musculus (house mouse)
Lineage: Eukaryota; Metazoa; Chordata; Mammalia; Rodentia; Muridae
Source: RNAcentral